Molecule: ribosomal RNA, 497 nt
Filed under: uncultured bacterium
Lineage: Bacteria
Description: partial 16S ribosomal RNA
Rfam family: Bacterial small subunit ribosomal RNA
Source: RNAcentral
GAUGAACGCUGGCGGCGUGCCUAAUACAUGCAAGUCGAGCGAACAGACGAGGAGCUUGCUCCUCUGACGUUAGCGGCGGACGGGUGAGUAACACGUGGAUAACCUACCUAUAAGACUGGGAUAACUUCGGGAAACCGGAGCUAAUACCGGAUAAUAUAUUGAACCGCAUGGUUCAAUAGUGAAAGACGGUUUUGCUGUCACUUAUAGAUGGAUCCGCGCCGCAUUAGCUAGUUGGUAAGGUAACGGCUUACCAAGGCGACGAUGCGUAGCCGACCUGAGAGGGUGGUCGGCCACACUAGAACUGAAACACGGUCCAGACUCCUACGGGAGGCAGCAGUAGGGAAUCUUCCGCAAUGGGCGAAAGCCUGACGGGGCAACGCCGCGUGAGUGAUGAGGGUCUUCGGAUCGUAAAACUCUGUUAUUAGGGAAGAACAAAUGUGUAAGUAACUAUGCACGUCUUGACGGUACCUAAUCAGAAAGCCACGGCUAACUACGUG